UUGACCUCGAAUCAGGUAGGGAUACCCGCUGAACUUAAGCAU
Molecule: ribosomal RNA, 42 nt
Filed under: Pleochaeta shiraiana
Lineage: Eukaryota; Fungi; Ascomycota; Leotiomycetes; Helotiales; Erysiphaceae
Also listed under: 3 other names
Description: partial 28S ribosomal RNA
Source: RNAcentral